AUGUUUGGCACCGUGCAGGAAACCAUUCAGCCAUUUCCUGCCAGGAUGUUCACCAAAAUCCUCCUAGCUGCAGCUCCUCGGUUGAAAACUCAGCGUGGUCCCCGUAGCAUCCCACUGCCCCCUCGUGGCUGGUGAGCAGACAGGUGAGACCCUCCUCAGCAGCGAAGGGAGUGGCACUGUCCUUACACAACAGGAGGGCCAGCUUGAUCAUGGGAUACCUCCUUGACCCAGUGGAGGAUGAUGGCUGUCUUCUCUGGUGAACAACCGGUCCCACCCCCUGCAGGACACCAUCCCAGUUAUGGGCUGGUGUCAGUACUGGAUCAGUCUGACAGACUGAUCCAGUGUCUGAAGGAAAGGUAUCGCAGGUCAACUGAACAACCAGCUCUGCUCCCAGUAGAACUACACGCACGCAUUAUGGACUAACUCUGGUUUAACUCUCUUAACUUUGCAAUAUUCAUUGAGUCUGUGCAAUACAAUAAUUCAUUUGCAAUCCAUUCACUAUGUAUGUUCUCACUGCAUAUAUUGUCCUUG
This is a long non-coding RNA of Platichthys flesus (European flounder), 531 nucleotides long. RefSeq lists it as uncharacterized. The record is from RefSeq and is a predicted model, not a curated record. Lineage: Eukaryota; Metazoa; Chordata; Actinopteri; Pleuronectiformes; Pleuronectidae. The transcript has 3 exons.